RNAcentral lists this ribosomal RNA (403 nucleotides) under uncultured bacterium. Its description in RNAcentral is "bacterial SSU rRNA". It matches the Rfam family "Bacterial small subunit ribosomal RNA", at positions 355 to 775 of the family's 1533-position model. The record is from RNAcentral.
UGGGGAAUAUUGCACAAUGGGCGAAAGCCUGAUGCAGCAACGCCGCGUGAGUGAUGACGGUCUUCGGAUUGUAAAGCUCUGCCUUUGGGGACGAUAAUGACGGUACCCAAGGAGGAAGCCACGGCUAACUACGUGCCAGCAGCCGCGGUAAUACGUAGGUGGCGAGCGUUGUCCGGAUUUACUGGGCGUAAAGGGUGCGUAGGCGGACCUUUAAGUGAGAUGUGAAAUCCCCGAGCUUAACUUGGGGGCUGCAUUUCAAACUGGAGGUCUAGAGUGCAGGAGAGGAGAGUGGAAUUCCUAGUGUAGCGGUGAAAUGCGUAGAGAUUAGGAAGAACACCAGUGGCGAAGGCGACUCUCUGGACUGUAACUAACGCUGAGGCACGAAAGCGUGGGGAGCAAACAG